This 258-nucleotide unclassified non-coding RNA is filed under the name Hevea brasiliensis (rubber tree). Lineage: Eukaryota; Viridiplantae; Streptophyta; Magnoliopsida; Malpighiales; Euphorbiaceae. The record is from RNAcentral.
UGAUGAUACUUCCAGUGAUCCAGAAACUUCUGAUCAUUUCAUGGUAGAGAAUGGUCAUGCACUAAAUGGGGAUUACGAGGGUGAAAUUGGUUUUAUGAAUGGUUUCUCACAUAAUUUGCAUGGCACUGGAAAGCUUUUUGUCGAGAGGAGAAACUCGAGCUGUAGAGGAAAGAAGCUUCUUCCUCUCUUUGAUGCCAUAAGUUUUCAAAAGGAAGGGGUGCUAUGUACCAUGCCAGAGGAAACUGAUGCAGCAUCUGA